RNAcentral lists this ribosomal RNA (253 nucleotides) under uncultured bacterium. Its description in RNAcentral is "partial 16S ribosomal RNA". It matches the Rfam family "Bacterial small subunit ribosomal RNA", at positions 524 to 776 of the family's 1533-position model. The record is from RNAcentral.
UACGAAGGGGGCUAGCGUUGCUCGGAAUUACUGGGCGUAAAGCGUGCGCAGGCGGUUCGUUGUGUCGGUGGUGAAAUCCCCGGGCUUAACCUGGGAAUGGCCAUGGAAACUGGCGAACUGGAGUGCGGCAGAGGGGGGUGGAAUUCCGCGUGUAGCAGUGAAAUGCGUAGAGAUGUGGAGGAACACCGAUGGCGAAGGCAGCCCCCUGGGCUGAGAUUGACGCUCAGGCACGAAAGCGUGGGGAGCAAACAGG